Saccostrea echinata is the source of this 807-nucleotide long non-coding RNA. RefSeq lists it as uncharacterized. The record is from RefSeq and is a predicted model, not a curated record. NCBI's taxonomy places the organism in Eukaryota, Metazoa, Mollusca, Bivalvia, Ostreida, Ostreidae. The transcript has 5 exons.
GAAAUGAUGUACUGCUCUUGUAAUCAUGGAAAAUACUUGUUGAAACUUCCUCUUUGACUGCUGGAUGAAGAAGGCCCUUUGCAACAGAGCGUGGAACUUUCGCCAACCCACAAUCUGGAGGCUUUGAGGUCAUAAAUGAACGAAACAUCAUUUCCCGCAACCCAUGAAAUGAUGUACUGCUCUUGUAAUCAUUGAAUACUUGUUGAAACUUCCUCUUUGACUGCUGGAUGAAGAAGGCCCUUUGCGACAGAGUGUGGAACUUUCGCCAACCCACAAUCUGGAGGCUUUGAGGUCAUUAAUGAACGACACAUCAUUUCCCGCAACCCAUGAAAUGAUGUACUGCUCUUGUAAUCAUGGAAAAUACUUGUUGAAACUUCCUCUUUGACUGCUGGAUGAAGAAGGCCCUUUGCGACAGAGCGUGGAACUUUCGCCAACCCACAAUCUGGAGGCUUUGAGGUCAUUAAUGAAUGACACAUCAUUUCCCGCAACCCAUGAAAUGAUGUACUGCUCUUGUAAUCAUUGAAUACUUGUUGAAACUUCCUCUUUGACUGCUGGAUGAAGAAGGCCCUUUGCGACAGAGCGUGAAACUUUCGCCAACCCACAAUCUGGAGGCUUUGAGGUCAUUAAUGAACGACACAUCAUUUCCCGCAACCCAUGAAAUGAUGUACUGCUCUUGUAAUCAUUGAAUACUUGUUGAAACUUCCUCUUUGACUCCUGGAUGAAGAAGGCCCUUUGCGACAGAGCGUGGAACUUUCGCCAACCCACAAUCUGGAGGCUUUGAGGUCAUUAAUGAACGAAACAUCAUUU